UAGUCUGGUGCCAGCAGCCGCGGUAAUACGGAGGAUGCAAGCGUUAUCCGGAAUCAUUGGGCGUAAAGCGUCCGCAGGUGGUUUCCAAAGUCUGCUGUUAAAGACUGGAGCUCAACUCCGGAACGGCGGUGGAAACUUGGAAACUAGAGUUCGGUAGGGGUAGCAGGAAUUCCCAGUGUAGCGGUGAAAUGCGUAGAUAUUGGGAAGAACAUCGGUGGCGAAGGCGUGCUACUGGACCGUAACUGACACUCAGGGACGAAAGCUAGGGGAGCGAAAGGGAUUAGAUACCCCUGUAGUCCUAGCUGUAAACGAUGGAAACUAGGUGUGGCUUGUAUCGACCCGAGCCGUGCCGUAGCUAACGCGUUAAGUUUCCCGCCUGGGGAGUACGCACGCAAGUGUGAAACUCAAAGGAAUUGACGGGGGCCCGCACAAGCGGUGGAGUAUGUGGUUUAAUUCGAUGCAACGCGAAGAACCUUACCAGGGCUUGACAUGUCGCGAAUCUNGGNGAAAGCUGAGAGUGCCUUCGGGAGCGCGAACGCAG
Molecule: ribosomal RNA, 541 nt
Filed under: Candidatus Atelocyanobacterium thalassae
Lineage: Bacteria; Bacillati; Cyanobacteriota; Cyanophyceae; Chroococcales; Aphanothecaceae
Description: bacterial SSU rRNA
Rfam family: Bacterial small subunit ribosomal RNA
Source: RNAcentral